UAAUAAGCUAUUAAGGGCUAAUGGUGGAUGCCUAGACUGUAAGAGGCGAUGAAAGACGUAUUAGGCUGCGAUAAGCCUCGGGGAGCUGCCAAAGAGCUUUGAUCCGGGGAUUUCUGAAUGGGGCAACCCAAUAUAAUGAGAAUUAUAUUACCCUACGGGGAGCGAACCUAGUGAAGUGAAACAUCUCAGUAGCUAGAGGAAGAGAAAUCAAACGAGAUUCCCAAAGUAGCGGCGAGCGAAAUGGGAUUAGGACAAACCCAAUGCUUGCAUUGGGGGUUGUAGGACCAUGAUAUGAGACUAAAGAGGAUAGAUGAAAUACUUGGAAAAGUGUAGCAUAGAAGGUGAAACUCCUGUAAUUAAAAUUCUCAAUAGCUCUAAUGGUAUCCUGAGUAGGUCGGAACACGUGAUAUUUUGACUGAAGCCGGGGGGACCACCCUCCAAUCCUAAAUACUACUUACAGAUCGAUAGUGAACAAGUACCGUGAGGGAAAGGUGAAAAGUACUCCAGCGAGGAGAGUGAAAUAGAACCUGAAACCAUUAGCUUACAAUCAUUCAGAGCCCUAUGAUUUAUCAGGGUGAUGGACUGCCUUUUGCAUAAUGAGCCUGCGAGUUGUGGUAUCUGGCAAGGUUAAGUCAAGUACGAAGCCGUAGCGAAAGCGAGUCUUAAUAGGGCGAAUUAGUCAGAUGCUGCAGACCCGAAACGAAGUGAUCUA
RNAcentral lists this ribosomal RNA (712 nucleotides) under Aliarcobacter butzleri. RNAcentral's name for it is "partial 23S ribosomal RNA". It matches the Rfam family "Bacterial large subunit ribosomal RNA", at positions 1 to 732 of the family's 2925-position model. Lineage: Bacteria; Pseudomonadati; Campylobacterota; Epsilonproteobacteria; Campylobacterales; Arcobacteraceae. The record is from RNAcentral.